AUACGUAGGGUGCAAGCGUUAAUCGGAAUUACUGGGCGUAAAGCGUGCGCAGGCGGUUUUGUAAGACAGAGGUGAAAUCCCCGGGCUCAACCUGGGAACUGCCUUUGUGACUGCAAGGCUAGAGGCAGGCAGAGGGGGAUGGAAUUCCGCGUGUAGCAGGGAAAUGCGUAGAUAUGCGGUGGAACACCGAUGGCGAAGGCAAUCCCCUGGGCCUGUACUGACGCUCAUGCACGAAAGCGUGGGGAGCAAACAGGAUUAGAUACCCUGGUAGUCCACGCCCUAAACGAUGUCAACUGGUUGUUGGGUCUUCAUUGACUCAGUAACGAAGCUAACGCGUGAAGUUGACCGCCUGGGGAGUACGGCCGCAAGGUUGAAACUCAAAUGAAUUGACGGGG
This 395-nucleotide ribosomal RNA is filed under the name uncultured bacterium. RNAcentral describes it as "partial 16S ribosomal RNA". It matches the Rfam family "Bacterial small subunit ribosomal RNA", at positions 523 to 918 of the family's 1533-position model. The record is from RNAcentral.